Molecule: long non-coding RNA, 705 nt
Organism: Echinops telfairi (small Madagascar hedgehog)
Lineage: Eukaryota; Metazoa; Chordata; Mammalia; Afrosoricida; Tenrecidae
Exons: 3
Source: RefSeq, a predicted model, not a curated record
UCUCCCACCCAGCUCCCGAGAGAGAGCCUUACAUCAGCGCCCCGGCGGGCGCAGGCUGGGGGAGAUCUGGGAUGGGGGUGGGAGGACGAAAAUAGGCUGCAGUUUCCACCGAGACAAAGGUGGCACGCCUCAGAGCCGGGAAACACACUCGAUGCACGGAGCCGGGAAACACACUCGAUGCACGGGGCAGUCCCUCCCAGCCGGAGUGGGCCGGAGAGGCAGCCCCGCUGGAUUCGCGUGCCCUACGGAGUUUUGAAGGUCACCAUCGACCUGCCGGAAGGCAUAAUGUAUCGUUACAUGAAGAACUCACAAAGCAAUGUGGAGCAGGGCAGAUGCCAAAGGGAAACCUUCCAAAAUCGUUUUGGUCCAGGACUCUGCUGGAUCUCCCAAGACUAGACGCAGAAGACCAUCAACCAAGACCUGUCAUCCAGAUGACGAAAAAGGGGGUCUGUGAUGGAAAAUAACUUUUCUCCUACACUAGGAAUCAUCCUCUUAUAGGAAGAGCAUUAAAAAAAAAGAAUGAGAACAAAUUUCCCAAGGAACAAAUGAUACGCUUAGAGAUGUGUAUUUCUAACAGUGCCUCUCACGUCACUGCUUCCACCUUGCACACUCACACGAACCCUGUUGACGUGUCCCUCGAUCCACAGCUCCACUAAAGCAUUCCCGUAUGCCUUCCUGUUCUACAACUUUCAGCAAAGCAAGAUC